This 448-nucleotide ribosomal RNA is filed under the name uncultured bacterium. RNAcentral's name for it is "bacterial SSU rRNA". It matches the Rfam family "Bacterial small subunit ribosomal RNA", at positions 329 to 794 of the family's 1533-position model. The record is from RNAcentral.
AUCCAGACUCCUACGGGAGGCAGCAGUGGGGAAUAUUGCACAAUGGGGGAAACCCUGAUGCAGCGACGCCGCGUGAGUGAAGAAGUAAUUCGUUAUGUAAAGCUCUAUCAGCAGGGAAGAAAAUGACGGUACCUGAGUAAGAAGCCCCGGCUAACUACGUGCCAGCAGCCGCGGUAAUACGUAGGGGGCAAGCGUUAUCCGGAUUUACUGGGUGUAAAGGGAGCGUAGACGGCUGUGCAAGCCAGAUGUGAAAGCCCGGGGCUCAACCCCGGGACUGCAUUUGGAACUGUGUGGCUGGAGUGUCGGAGAGGCAGGCGGAAUUCCUAGUGUAGCGGUGAAAUGCGUAGAUAUUAGGAGGAACACCAGUGGCGAAGGCGGCCUGCUGGACGAUGACUGACGUUGAGGCUCGAAAGCGUGGGGAGCAAACAGGAUUAGAUACCCGGGUAUA